Molecule: ribosomal RNA, 467 nt
Filed under: uncultured bacterium
Lineage: Bacteria
Description: partial 16S ribosomal RNA
Rfam family: Bacterial small subunit ribosomal RNA
Source: RNAcentral
GAUGAACGCUGGCGGCGUGCUUAACACAUGCAAGUCGAACGGAAAGGCCUCUGCUUGCAGGGGUACUCGAGUGGCGAACGGGUGAGUAACACGUGGGUGAUCUGCCCUGCACUUCGGGAUAAGCCUGGGAAACUGGGUCUAAUACCGGAUAGGACAAUGGUUUGGAUGCUGUUGUGGAAAGUUUUUCGGUGUGGGAUGAGCUCGCGGCCUAUCAGCUUGUUGGUGGGGUAAUGGCCUACCAAGGCGUCGACGGGUAGCCGGCCUGAGAGGGUGUACGGCCACAUUGGGACUGAGAUACGGCCCAGACUCCUACGGGAGGCAGCAGUGGGGAAUAUUGCACAAUGGGCGCAAGCCUGAUGCAGCGACGCCGCGUGGGGGAUGACGGCCUUCGGGUUGUAAACUCCUUUCGCUAGGGACGAAGCGUUUUUGUGACGGUACCUGGAGAAGAAGCACCGGCUAACUAUGUG